RNAcentral lists this long non-coding RNA (1086 nucleotides) under Lepisosteus oculatus (spotted gar). Its description in RNAcentral is "lncRNA (ENSLOCG00000021620.1)". The record is from RNAcentral. Lineage: Eukaryota; Metazoa; Chordata; Actinopteri; Semionotiformes; Lepisosteidae.
CACGCGUGUCCUUUUUGAGGAACUUAUUUCCAGGAGGAAAACGAGUUAAACCAUUUUUCUCUCACAAUAUGCAGUUCCCUCUCGGUUACAUUGAUGUCUUUUUUUGGGGGUAUGUAUAAAAAAUCACAAUGAUGAGUUUUGGGAUAAUAUUUGGAAGGAAAGGUCCACGAUUUUCCAUUUUCCAUUUUAGUUUUUUUUUCUCUCUCUCUCUUGCUCGCUGUAAAGCCAUCUCCUUACCUGGGAUGGAGCUCUGUUACGUUCUUGUCAGUGGAGUUUAACAAGGGAGGAGAAGUGGCUGCAUUGUCUGAGGUUUGCUGAGCUGUAAAUCACACAAUUGAACAAGGAGUUUUAAAAACCUUGUUUCAGUGCAGGUGGAAAAACAAAAAUCUUUUCUUUUUUUUUGUUCUAAAUAAAUUUGGAACUUUAUUUGAAUUCAACCUGUGGGAAGAAGUCUGGUGCAGGAUGUAUGGAUAAUUCCAUUCGAGGCACUCUCAAUGGCUCAUCAGAGCUUAUGCCGUUUUCUAGGUGUGAAGUGAUCAGAGAGCAUAUGGCCCCCUGGAUAGAGAGAUGGUGGACUGGAGCAACUGGGAUAAAGGGGCUUCACACGAGGUACAACAGCUGUGUUUGAACCCACAACCUACCAGCUACGAAAGCCGCACAAGUACUCGCCAGCAUCAGAGGCCACCAGUGGCUGGAUGGACACCCGGGCCAAAAGGGUGCUGCUGGUCUUCGUGAUGGACAUGGAGACCCUGUCCUGCUGCCCGUCCGUGCUGGUCUUCAGAAUGAGCAGGCAGGGGUCCGCGCUCUGCUUCCGGCACCAGGCCACCGUCGGCUGGGCGGCUAUGGGGUCACACUCACACAGGAUCAGGCAGUUCUGCCCCUCCGUGCCACUGACCACCUUGUAGUUCGCCUGCGUCACUGUGCCUGUGAGGCACAAGAACCGCAGGAGGUCACCCCACCACGCGGAACCAAUCUUUUCCAAACCCAGGAGAUCGAUAUACAUCGGCACGAUGGGAUCAGAACGAUGCUAGAACAUCACAGACCAUAUCGGCUGUUCUUGUUCAUUACCCAAUAAUGGUACUUGAG